UACGGAGGGUGCAAGCGUUGUCCGGAUUUAUUGGGUUUAAAGGGUGCGUAGGCGGCCCGUUAAGUCAGUGGUGAAAUCCCGGGGCUCAACCCCGGAACUGCCAUUGAUACUGGCGGGCUUGAGUUCGGUCGAGGCGGGCGGAACUGGUGGUGUAGCGGUGAAAUGCAUAGAUACCACCAAGAACCCCGAUUGCGUAGGCAGCUCGCUGGGCCUGAACUGACGCUGAGGCACGAAAGCGUGGGGAGCGAACAGG
RNAcentral lists this unclassified non-coding RNA (253 nucleotides) under uncultured Hymenobacteraceae bacterium. Its description in RNAcentral is "contains 16S-23S intergenic spacer region". It matches the Rfam family "Bacterial small subunit ribosomal RNA", at positions 524 to 776 of the family's 1533-position model. Lineage: Bacteria; Pseudomonadati; Bacteroidota; Cytophagia; Cytophagales; Hymenobacteraceae. The record is from RNAcentral.